GCCAUGUCACGUUGAAACACCGCUUCUCUUCUGAUCCCCAAAGUUAAGCAACGUUGAGUUUGGUCCGAACCUAGAUGGGUGGCUGCCUGGGAAUACCAGGUGCUGUGA
Non-coding RNA from Acanthosepion pharaonis, 108 nucleotides. Lineage: Eukaryota; Metazoa; Mollusca; Cephalopoda; Sepiida; Sepiidae. The record is from the annotation of a GenBank genome assembly.